Molecule: long non-coding RNA, 1269 nt
Organism: Arachis ipaensis
Lineage: Eukaryota; Viridiplantae; Streptophyta; Magnoliopsida; Fabales; Fabaceae
Source: RefSeq, a predicted model, not a curated record
ACGCCUCACAACCUCUUCCAGUCCAGCCGAACCAGCCCCUCCCAGUCCCGCCGAACCAGCGCCUCGCAUCCCCUCCCAGCAGCGCCUCCUAACCCCUUCCAGCAGCGCGAACCGGCGAACCCAUUAGCAACGUUCAGCCCCUCCCAGAUGAUUGUUCAUUUAUUUGUUGCUGAUUUUUGUUGAUUGUUGUAUUUUUACUCCAAUUUAGUUUCGAUAUGUACAUUCACUGGGUUGUUCAUACUGAAAUUGCUGUUCAUACUGAAUUACUGAAACUACUUCUGGGUUGUUCAUACUGAAUUACUGAAAUUGCUGUACUGUUUGCUGUUCAUACUGAAAUUAUUGUUCUGUUUGUUGUUAUCCGAUAAUAUCUGAAAACUUGAUCUGAAACUGCUUCUGAUUUAUUAUUAUUAUUAUUAGUUAUUUUAGAAAAAUAAAAAAUAAUUUUGAACUGAUUUAGUAUGAUUUAUUACUUUUGUUUCCAAUUUUAUAUAUACAGGGAAUUGGUUUGUUAGCAGCAGGACAAAGCAGCACAAUUACAGGAACAUAUGCAAGACAAUUCAUAACUAAAGGGUUUUUGAAGUUAAAUAUAAAGAAAUUGGUAAGGUCAUUGAUUACUAGAAGUUGUGCUAUUGUUUGAACAAUGAUAGCUGCUAAUGUUUUUAAUACAUCAGAGAGUUCAUUGGAUACUAUGAAUGAAUGGCACAAUGUGGUUCAGUCAAUUCAAAUUCCUUUUGCACUCAUUCCACUUCUUAUAUUGGUGUCUAAAGAAGAGGUCAUGGGUACUUUUUAAAAUAGGCCUUAUUGUAGAGGUCACGUUUUUAACAUUAUUUUGAAAAUGAGUGGAGAAGAAAAGUUGCUGCCCCUUCAAAAUAGCGAAAGAAUCAUUUGAUUUGAAUGAGUACCCAAAAGCUUGAAUAGCAUGAGAGUCGGUGAAAGAGCCAACAAAGAUAUCCUCUUGCACUCAUCCUGAUGGCAUUGCCGAAGAAAUGUAGAGAGAGGAAUCAACAACUUCGAGGAAUAAAUUGAUGCUUUCAAGCAUGAAUAUGGUCCAAUUAUUCUCUUGGACAAGAUAAAUAAAUUGAAAGACAGUAAUUGAGAGAUCUGAAGGCAUAAGAAUCUCAAAGUCAUCCGCUAACCUCUCAAGUCUUUUCUGUAGAUUAUCAUCGGGGACAUAAAAGUAAAUAGGUUCAAUCUUAUAAAUUGUAAUGAAUUUCUAUUGAUAUUCUUGAACACUAUUUUGUAAAGAAUUGUAAGAGGCAAACACUUCUU